GACGAACGCUGGCGGCGUGCUUAACACAUGCAAGUCGAACGGAAAGGCCCUGCUUUUGUGGGGUGCUCGAGUGGCGAACGGGUGAGUAACACGUGAGUAACCUGCCCUUGACUUUGGGAUAACUUCAGGAAACUGGGGCUAAUACCGGAUAGGAGCUCCUGCUGCAUGGUGGGGGUUGGAAAGUUUCGGCGGUGGUGGAUGGACUCGCGGCUUAUCAGCUUGUUGGUGGGGUAGGUGCGUCCCAAGGCUUUGAAGGGUAGCCGGCCUGGGAGGGGGGACGGCCACAUUGGGCCUGCGAUACGCCCCAGACUCCUACGGGAGGCAGAGGUGGGGAAUAUUGCGCAAUGGGCGGACGCCUGAUGCGGCAACCCCGCGUGCGUGAUGACGGCCUUUGGGUUGUAAACCGCUUUCGCAUGUGACGAAGCGUGAGUGACGGUAAUGGGUAAAGAAGCACCGGCUAACUACGUG
Molecule: ribosomal RNA, 468 nt
Filed under: uncultured bacterium
Lineage: Bacteria
Description: partial 16S ribosomal RNA
Rfam family: Bacterial small subunit ribosomal RNA
Source: RNAcentral